AUUGAACGCUGGCGGCAUGCCUUACACAUGCAAGUCGAACGGCAGCACGGGAGCAAUCCUGGUGGCGAGUGGCGAACGGGUGAGUAAUAUAUCGGAACGUGCCCAGUCGUGGGGGAUAACGCAGCGAAAGCUGUGCUAAUACCGCAUACGAUCUAUGGAUGAAAGCGGGGGAUCGCAAGACCUCGCGCGAUUGGAGCGGCCGAUAUCAGAUUAGCUAGUUGGUGAGGUAAAGGCUCACCAAGGCGACGAUCUGUAGCUGGUCUGAGAGGACGACCAGCCACACUGGAACUGAGACACGGUCCAGACUCCUACGGGAGGCAGCAGUGGGGAAUUUUGGACAAUGGGCGAAAGCCUGAUCCAGCAAUGCCGCGUGCAGGAUGAAGGCCUUCGGGUUGUAAACUGCUUUUGUACGGAACGAAACGGUGAGCUCUAAUACAGUUUGCUAAUGACGGUUCCGUAAGAAUAAGCACCGGCUAACUACGUGCCAGCAGCCGCCGUAA
Molecule: ribosomal RNA, 500 nt
Filed under: uncultured bacterium
Lineage: Bacteria
Description: partial 16S ribosomal RNA
Rfam family: Bacterial small subunit ribosomal RNA
Source: RNAcentral